CUUGAAACACGGACCAAGGAGUUUAUAGUGUACGCGAGUCUUAAGGUAAUUAAACCUAAUAGGCGUAAUGAAAGUAAAAGAAAUUUUAUUUUCUGAUGGAAGAUAUGCAAUAUUUUUUAAAUAUUUAAAAAGUUGCAUCGCAUUCCUGGGGCGCUUUAAAUUCAUUAUUGAAUUGAGGCGCACCAAUAGCGUACACAAUAAUACCCGAAAGAUGGUGAACUAUGCCUGGCCAGGACGAAGCCAGGGGAAACCCUGGUGGAGGUCCGAAGCGAUUCUGACGUGCAAAUCGAUCGCCGGAGCUGGGUAUAGGGGCGAAAGACCAAUCGAACCAUCUAGUAGCUGGUUCUCUCUGAAGUUUCCCUCAGGAUA
Molecule: ribosomal RNA, 369 nt
Filed under: Phymata fortificata
Lineage: Eukaryota; Metazoa; Arthropoda; Insecta; Hemiptera; Phymatidae
Description: eukaryotic LSU rRNA
Rfam family: Eukaryotic large subunit ribosomal RNA
Source: RNAcentral